RNAcentral lists this ribosomal RNA (473 nucleotides) under uncultured Fusibacter sp. RNAcentral's name for it is "bacterial SSU rRNA". It matches the Rfam family "Bacterial small subunit ribosomal RNA", at positions 916 to 1381 of the family's 1533-position model. The record is from RNAcentral. Lineage: Bacteria; Bacillati; Bacillota; Clostridia; Eubacteriales; Fusibacteraceae.
CGACGGGACCCGCACAAGCAGCGGAGCAUGUGGUUUAAUUCGAAGCAACGCGAAGAACCUUACCAGAUCUUGACAUCCAAUUGACCAUCUUUUAAUCGAGAUUUUGCCUUCGGGUACAAUUGAGACAGGUGGUGCAUGGUUGUCGUCAGCUCGUGUCGUGAGAUGUUGGGUUAAGUCCCGCAACGAGCGCAACCCUUGUGUUUAGUUGCAAACAGGUCAAGCUGUGCACUCUAGACAGACUGCCGUGGACAACACGGAGGAAGGUGGGGAUGACGUCAAAUCAUCAUGCCCCUUAUGAUCUGGGCUACACACGUGCUACAAUGGCCGGUACAACGGGCAGCGAAGGAGCGAUCCGGAGCGAAUCCUAAAAAGCCGGUCCUAGUUCGGAUUGCAGGCUGAAACUCGCCUACAUGAAGUUGGAGUUGCUAGUAAUCGCGAAUCAGAAUGUCGCGGUGAAUGCGUUCCCGGGUCUU